This 1401-nucleotide ribosomal RNA is filed under the name Klebsiella sp. RNAcentral describes it as "bacterial SSU rRNA". It matches the Rfam family "Bacterial small subunit ribosomal RNA". Lineage: Bacteria; Pseudomonadati; Pseudomonadota; Gammaproteobacteria; Enterobacterales; Enterobacteriaceae. The record is from RNAcentral.
UGCAGUCGAGCGGUAGCACAGAGAGCUUGCUCUCGGGUGACGAGCGGCGGACGGGUGAGUAAUGUCUGGGAAACUGCCUGAUGGAGGGGGAUAACUACUGGAAACGGUAGCUAAUACCGCAUAACGUCGCAAGACCAAAGUGGGGGACCUUCGGGCCUCAUGCCAUCAGAUGUGCCCAGAUGGGAUUAGCUAGUAGGUGGGGUAACGGCUCACCUAGGCGACGAUCCCUAGCUGGUCUGAGAGGAUGACCAGCCACACUGGAACUGAGACACGGUCCAGACUCCUACGGGAGGCAGCAGUGGGGAAUAUUGCACAAUGGGCGCAAGCCUGAUGCAGCCAUGCCGCGUGUGUGAAGAAGGCCUUCGGGUUGUAAAGCACUUUCAGCGGGGAGGAAGGCGGUGAGGUUAAUAACCUUAUCGAUUGACGUUACCCGCAGAAGAAGCACCGGCUAACUCCGUGCCAGCAGCCGCGGUAAUACGGAGGGUGCAAGCGUUAAUCGGAAUUACUGGGCGUAAAGCGCACGCAGGCGGUCUGUCAAGUCGGAUGUGAAAUCCCCGGGCUCAACCUGGGAACUGCAUUCGAAACUGGCAGGCUAGAGUCUUGUAGAGGGGGGUAGAAUUCCAGGUGUAGCGGUGAAAUGCGUAGAGAUCUGGAGGAAUACCGGUGGCGAAGGCGGCCCCCUGGACAAAGACUGACGCUCAGGUGCGAAAGCGUGGGGAGCAAACAGGAUUAGAUACCCUGGUAGUCCACGCCGUAAACGAUGUCGAUUUGGAGGUUGUGCCCUUGAGGCGUGGCUUCCGGAGCUAACGCGUUAAAUCGACCGCCUGGGGAGUACGGCCGCAAGGUUAAAACUCAAAUGAAUUGACGGGGGCCCGCACAAGCGGUGGAGCAUGUGGUUUAAUUCGAUGCAACGCGAAGAACCUUACCUGGUCUUGACAUCCACAGAACUUUCCAGAGAUGGAUUGGUGCCUUCGGGAACUGUGAGACAGGUGCUGCAUGGCUGUCGUCAGCUCGUGUUGUGAAAUGUUGGGUUAAGUCCCGCAACGAGCGCAACCCUUAUCCUUUGUUGCCAGCGGUCCGGCCGGGAACUCAAAGGAGACUGCCAGUGAUAAACUGGAGGAAGGUGGGGAUGACGUCAAGUCAUCAUGGCCCUUACGACCAGGGCUACACACGUGCUACAAUGGCAUAUACAAAGAGAAGCGACCUCGCGAGAGCAAGCGGACCUCAUAAAGUAUGUCGUAGUCCGGAUUGGAGUCUGCAACUCGACUCCAUGAAGUCGGAAUCGCUAGUAAUCGUAGAUCAGAAUGCUACGGUGAAUACGUUCCCGGGCCUUGUACACACCGCCCGUCACACCAUGGGAGUGGGUUGCAAAAGAAGUAGGUAGCUUAACCUUCGGGAGGG